AGAGUUUGAUCAUGGCUCAGAACGAACGCUGGCGGCGUGGAUAAGACAUGCAAGUCGAACGCUGACACUUAGGUAGCAAUAUUUGAGUGUUGGAGUGGCGCAAGGGUGUGUAACACGUGAGUAAUCUGCCGUGAAGUCUGGGAUAACUCGCUGAAAGGCGAGCUAAUACCGGAUGUGAAUGAAAAUUCAAAGUUGGGGGAUCGCAAGACCUGACGCUUUACGAUGAGCUCGCGGCCUAUCAGCUAGUUGGUGAGGUAAAGGCUCACCAAGGCUAAGACGGGUAGCUGGUCUGAGAGGACGACCAGCCACACUGGAACUGAGACACGGUCCAGACACCUACGGGUGGCAGCAGUCGAGAAUUUUUCUCAAUGGGCGAAAGCCUGAAGGAGCGACGCCGCGUGGGGGAUGAAUGGCUUCGGCCCGUAAACCCCUGUCAUUUGCGAACAAAUUAAUCUACCCAACACGUGGAUUAUUGAUUGUAGCGAAAGAGGAAGGGACGGCUAACUCUGUGCCAGCAGCCGCGGUAAUACAGAGGUCCCAAGCGUUGUUCGGAUUCACUGGGCGUAAAGGGUGCGUAGGCGGUCAUUUAAGUCUGACGUGAAAUCUCCGGGCCUAACCCGGAAACUGCGUUGGAAACUAUCUGACUAGAGGAAUGGAGGGGAGACUGGAAUACUUGGUGUAGCAGUGAAAUGCGUAGAUAUCAAGUGGAACACCAGUGGCGAAGGCGAGUCUCUGGACAUUUCCUGACGCUGAGGCACGAAAGCCAGGGGAGCAAACGGGAUUAGAUACCCUAGUAGUCC
RNAcentral lists this ribosomal RNA (800 nucleotides) under uncultured bacterium. RNAcentral's name for it is "bacterial SSU rRNA". It matches the Rfam family "Bacterial small subunit ribosomal RNA", at positions 8 to 796 of the family's 1533-position model. The record is from RNAcentral.